CAAGCUACUACCAUCGAAACACCUCUUAAUAGUACGGUACAUGAGCUACAAACUAGCAAAACCUAUACUACAAUAAGUGUCCUUCAUCUCCUUGUGACACUUGGUUCUAGAAAGGUCCUUAGCCUUAUCGCAUUAGCUCCAUGUCCGUUUUUUCAAUUCAAAUUAAGGGGUCACAUUCCAAUAUACUCAUGAUGAGAUAACCAAGAUAUAUCUGCUUCAAAGCACACGGGUUAAUCACAAGUAUAAGGUUGUCAUUUAUCACCAAAACACACCCUUACCAACAGUGCAAAAGUGCCUAGAUGACACCUAGGUGCUUCAAUCUCCCCCUUUUUGGUGAUAGAUGACAACACAUAAGUAGAGAUAUAAAAUUUGAAUUUAAAACACAAUUCAAAUAAGUAAUGCAAGACAAGAUAAGGAGAAGGUAAACAAGCACACAUGCAUUAACUUAAAAGUAACCACACACAUGAGUAGACAUGUCAACAACCCAACAAGCACAAAAGCCAAAUGACAUGUCUAUACAUGAAGAUUCACAAAAGAACCAACAAACUCCCUCCAAGCUCCCCCUAUCUCUACUCC
RNAcentral lists this long non-coding RNA (576 nucleotides) under Setaria viridis. RNAcentral's name for it is "long non-coding RNA (SVIR_LNC006553)". The record is from RNAcentral. Lineage: Eukaryota; Viridiplantae; Streptophyta; Magnoliopsida; Poales; Poaceae.